UGGGGUGUAGCCAAACGGUAAGGCAGCGGACUCUGGAUCCGCCACCUGUUGGUUCGAAUCCAGCCACCCCAGCCA
This 75-nucleotide transfer RNA is filed under the name Candidatus Formimonas warabiya. RNAcentral describes it as "Peptococcaceae bacterium DCMF tRNA-Gln". It matches the Rfam family "tRNA". From Rfam's summary of the family: Transfer RNA (tRNA) molecules are approximately 80 nucleotides in length. Their secondary structure includes four short double-helical elements and three loops (D, anti-codon, and T loops). Lineage: Bacteria; Bacillati; Bacillota; Clostridia; Eubacteriales; Peptococcaceae. The record is from RNAcentral.